Molecule: ribosomal RNA, 387 nt
Filed under: uncultured bacterium
Lineage: Bacteria
Description: bacterial SSU rRNA
Rfam family: Bacterial small subunit ribosomal RNA
Source: RNAcentral
GACGAACGCUGGCGGCGUGCUUAACACAUGCAAGUCGAGCGGUAAGGCCCUUUCGGGGGUACACGAGCGGCGAACGGGUGAGUAACACGUGGGUGACCUGCCCUCAGCUCUGGGAUAAGCCCGGGAAACUGGGUCUAAUACCGGAUAUGACUCCAUGACGCAUGUUGUGGGGUGGAAAGCCUUGUGCGGCUGAGGAUGGGCCCGCGGCCUAUCAGCUUGUUGGUGGGGUGAUGGCCACCAAGGCGACGACGGGUAGCCGGCCUGAGAGGGCGACCGGCCACACUGGGACUGAGACACGGCCCGGACUCCUACGGGAGGCAGCAGUGGGGAAUCUUGCGCAAUGGGCGAAAGCCUGACGCAGCGACGCCGCGUGAGGGAUGACGGCCU